UCGUGUCAUCUUUGGUGAUACGAGGUGUAGCGUAUAGACUGCGGUUUUGGGCCAGUCCAUCCGUUAAAGUUUCCCUUGACUGGGGCUCCAGAGAAGGUGCAAGACCUGUCCAGCGGAUGGUGCUGGUGCAUUUCCGUCUGUCUUUGAGUCGGGUUGUUUGGGAUCGCAGCCCAAAGCAGGUGGUAAACUUCAUCUAAGACUGAAUAUGACCACGAAUCCGAUAGCGAACAAGUACUGUGAAGGAAAGUUGCAAAGCACUUUGAAGAGAGAGUUAAAGAGGACGUGAAACCGAUGAGGUGGAAACGGAUAGAGCUGGCGUAUCUGGCCUGUAUUCAGCCGUGAGCUGUCUGGUGUCUAGUUUGUUGCCUUCCAGAUUGGUGCAUGAACUUGGCAUUUUGUUGGUUUGCGGUGCAUUUGCAGGUGGAGUGCGCUGAGGCGGUCGGAGCAGUGGCAUGAGCUUGGUUUUGAGGCCAUAUGCUUUGGUGUGUGGUACCCGAGCCGGGGGAGUGCUAUUUGUUCUGGCCGGAUGUGUGGAUGCUGGUCUCGGGCUCGAGUGGGCACCGAGCUGGCGGUUGGUGGCGGCCGCAUGCGACACGUGCCAGCAGUCAGUUCGGUCCUAUUCGGGCUCACAUUGCUGUCCCGCCUCGGUGUAACAGCCGGUCAUCUAUCCGACCCGUCUUGAAACACGGACCAAGGAGUUUAGCGUGUGCGCGAGUCAUUGGGCGUUGAAAACCCAAAGGCGUAAUGAAAGUGAAUGCACCCCUUGUGGGGCUGAUGUGCGAUCCAAGGUGACUACGGUUGCCAGGCGCAGCAUAGUCCCGUCCCAAUCGCAUGCGAUGGGGCGGAGACAGAGCGUACGCGCUGAGACCCGAAAGAUGGUGAACUAUUCCUGAGCAGGAUGAAGCCAGAGGAAACUCUGGUGGAAGUCCGAAGCGAUUCUGACGUGCAAAUCGA
RNAcentral lists this ribosomal RNA (954 nucleotides) under Neodolichodorus persiangulfus. RNAcentral describes it as "partial large subunit ribosomal RNA". It matches the Rfam family "Eukaryotic large subunit ribosomal RNA", at positions 120 to 901 of the family's 3401-position model. Lineage: Eukaryota; Metazoa; Nematoda; Chromadorea; Rhabditida; Dolichodoridae. The record is from RNAcentral.